GCCACCUUAGCUCAGUUGGUAGAGCACUUCACUCGUAACGAAGAGGUCCCCGGUUCAAUCCCGGGAGGUGGCUCCA
This 76-nucleotide transfer RNA is filed under the name Patescibacteria group bacterium. RNAcentral describes it as "tRNA-Thr". It matches the Rfam family "tRNA". From Rfam's summary of the family: Transfer RNA (tRNA) molecules are approximately 80 nucleotides in length. RNAcentral also lists the same sequence under 1 other name. The record is from RNAcentral.